AGAGUUUGAUCCUGGCUCAGGACGAACGCUGGCGGCGUGCUUAACACAUGCAAGUCGAACGGUAAGGCCCUUCGGGGUACACGAGUGGCGAACGGGUGAGUAACACGUGGGUAAUCUGCCCUGCACAUCGGGAUAAGCCUGGGAAACUGGGUCUAAUACCGAAUAGGACCGCGCGCUUCAUGGUGUGUGGUGGAAAGCUUUUGCGGUGUGGGAUGGGCCCGCGGCCUAUCAGCUUGUUGGUGGGGUAAUGGCCUACCAAGGCGACGACGGGUAGCCGGCCUGAGAGGGUGACCGGCCACACUGGGACUGAGAUACGGCCCAGACUCCUACGGGAGGCAGCAGUGGGGAAUAUUGCACAAUGGGCGCAAGCCUGAUGCAGCGACGCCGCGUGAGGGAUGACGGCCUUCGGGUUGUAAACCUCUUUCACCAGGGACGAAGCGCAAGUGACGGUACCUGGAGAAGAAGCACCGGCCAACUACGUGCCAGCAGCCGCGGUAAUACGUAGGGUGCGAGCGUUGUCCGGAAUUACUGGGCGUAAAGAGCUCGUAGGUGGUUUGUCGCGUUGUUCGUGAAAACUCACAGCUUAACUGUGGGCGUGCGGGCGAUACGGGCAGACUAGAGUACUGCAGGGGAGACUGGAAUUCCUGGUGUAGCGGUGGAAUGCGCAGAUAUCAGGAGGAACACCGGUGGCGAAGGCGGGUCUCUGGGCAGUAACUGACGCUGAGGAGCGAAAGCGUGGGGAGCGAACAGGAUUAGAUACCCUGGUAGUCC
Molecule: ribosomal RNA, 771 nt
Filed under: uncultured bacterium
Lineage: Bacteria
Description: bacterial SSU rRNA
Rfam family: Bacterial small subunit ribosomal RNA
Source: RNAcentral